RNAcentral lists this ribosomal RNA (694 nucleotides) under uncultured bacterium. Its description in RNAcentral is "bacterial SSU rRNA". It matches the Rfam family "Bacterial small subunit ribosomal RNA", at positions 32 to 715 of the family's 1533-position model. The record is from RNAcentral.
AACGCUAGCUACAGGCUUAACACAUGCAAGUCGCGGGGUAACGAGAGGGAAGCUUGCUUUCCUUGUCGACGACCGGCGCACGGGUGAGUAACGCGUAUCCAACCUGCCCAUUACCACGGGAUACCCCGUCGAAAGGCGGCCUAAUACCGUAUGCAGUCGUCAGAUGACAUCAGAGGACGACGAAAGGAUUGGCGGUAAUGGAUGGGGAUGCGUCUGAUUAGGUAGUUGGAGGGGUAACGGCCCACCAAGCCAUCGAUCAGUAGGGGUUCUGAGAGGAAGGUCCCCCACAUUGGAACUGAGACACGGUCCAAACUCCUACGGGAGGCAGCAGUGAGGAAUAUUGGUCAAUGGGCGCGAGCCUGAACCAGCCAAGUAGCGUGCAGGAUGACGGCCCUAUGGGUUGUAAACUGCUUUUAUAAGGGAAUAAAGUGAGUCUCGUGAGACUUUUUGCAUGUACCUUAUGAAUAAGGACCGGCUAAUUCCGUGCCAGCAGCCGCGGUAAUACGGAAGGUCCGGGCGUUAUCCGGAUUUAUUGGGUUUAAAGGGAGCGUAGGCCGCAAGUCAAGCGUGUUGUGAAAUGCAGGGGCUCAACCUCUGGAUUGCAGCGCGAACUGGCAUGCUUGAGUACGCACGAGGUAGGCGGAAUUUGUGGUGUAGCGGUGAAAUGCUUAGAUAUCACGAAGAACUCCGAUUG